Molecule: non-coding RNA, 73 nt
Organism: Myotis lucifugus (little brown bat)
Lineage: Eukaryota; Metazoa; Chordata; Mammalia; Chiroptera; Vespertilionidae
Source: Rfam
GACCGGGUAGCUCAGUUGGUUAGAGCGUUGUCCCGAGAUGCCAAGGUUGCAGGUUCAAUCCCUGGUCAGGGCA